AUUAGCUGGAGAGUUUGAUCCUGGCUCAGGACGAACGC
RNAcentral lists this ribosomal RNA (38 nucleotides) under Caldanaerobacter subterraneus. Its description in RNAcentral is "partial 16S ribosomal RNA". Lineage: Bacteria; Bacillati; Bacillota; Clostridia; Thermoanaerobacterales; Thermoanaerobacteraceae. The record is from RNAcentral.